CGAAAUGCGCUAAUUACUGUGAAUUNCCGAAUUCAGUGAAUCAUCGAAUCUUUGAACGCACCUUGCG
Molecule: ribosomal RNA, 67 nt
Filed under: uncultured Mycena
Lineage: Eukaryota; Fungi; Basidiomycota; Agaricomycetes; Agaricales; Tricholomataceae
Description: partial 5.8S ribosomal RNA
Rfam family: 5.8S ribosomal RNA
About the family: 5.8S ribosomal RNA (5.8S rRNA) is a component of the large subunit of the eukaryotic ribosome. It is transcribed by RNA polymerase I as part of the 45S precursor that also contains 18S and 28S rRNA.
Source: RNAcentral